This is a long non-coding RNA of Sarcophilus harrisii (Tasmanian devil), 542 nucleotides long. RefSeq lists it as uncharacterized. The record is from RefSeq and is a predicted model, not a curated record. The transcript has 3 exons. Lineage: Eukaryota; Metazoa; Chordata; Mammalia; Dasyuromorphia; Dasyuridae.
GAAAAAGUGACUUAAUAGUGUGCUUUGUUUCCUGUUGGUCUUUCUUUGACAUAAUAAUGAGCAACUGUACAUCUAGCUCUGAACAAACUGAGGAGAAAAGGGAGGCAGAAAAGAGAGAAAGACUGUCAGCCUUUACUUUCAAAAAACAUUUCCGGGAGAAUCACACCACAUCAUCAUGAUCAAGAAAAAAGUACAUAGUAACACGAACUAAGUCAAUGAUUCUGAAAAAUUCUACAAGAAAAUCUGAUAAGAGGCAUUAUUUCUUGACUUUUUCAUUAAAAACACGAAAAUCCAAAUCAUCCUCCAAAAGUGCUCCUUAACUCUAAGAAGGUAACAUCUCCCCCCCUGCCCACUUACAAGUGUUCUCAAGAGUGUAUUAAGCUCCAUAAGUCAGAUGAUCAGCAUUCCACUACUUGUGUCAACAGAAGCAGAGAUGACUCGGAGAUUCCAGCUUUCGCAGAAACAUUAUAAAAGUUUGAAAAUUCAGGAGAGCAUUAAGUCCAGGGGCAAGAUAUUAUGCAGGAAGUUCUCUCUGAUACAUC